AUUGAACGCUGGCGGCAUGCCUUACACAUGCAAGUCGAACGGCAGCACGGGAGCAAUCCUGGUGGCGAGUGGCGAACGGGUGAGUAAUAUAUCGGAACGUGCCCGGUCGUGGGGAUAACGUAGCGAAAGCUACGCUAAUACCGCAUACGAUCUACGGAUGAAAGCGGGGGAUCGCAAGACCUCGCGCGAUUGGAGCGGCCGAUAUCAGAUUAGGUAGUUGGUGAGGUAAAGGCUCACCAAGCCGACGAUCUGUAGCUGGUCUGAGAGGACGACCAGCCACACUGGGACUGAGACACGGCCCAGACUCCUACGGGAGGCAGCAGUGGGGAAUUUUGGACAAUGGGCGCAAGCCUGAUCCAGCAAUGCCGCGUGCAGGAUGAAGGCCUCGGUUGUAACGUA
Molecule: ribosomal RNA, 399 nt
Filed under: uncultured bacterium
Lineage: Bacteria
Description: bacterial SSU rRNA
Rfam family: Bacterial small subunit ribosomal RNA
Source: RNAcentral